GCCCCCUACCCCCAUGGCACAAUGGGUUAGUGUGUCUGGCUGUUACUCAGAUGGUUGGUGGUUCAAGUCCACCCAGGGCCA
Non-coding RNA from Podarcis lilfordi (Lilford's wall lizard), 81 nucleotides. The record is from the annotation of a GenBank genome assembly. NCBI's taxonomy places the organism in Eukaryota, Metazoa, Chordata, Lepidosauria, Squamata, Lacertidae.